This 420-nucleotide ribosomal RNA is filed under the name uncultured Sanguibacter sp. RNAcentral describes it as "bacterial SSU rRNA". It matches the Rfam family "Bacterial small subunit ribosomal RNA", at positions 358 to 790 of the family's 1533-position model. Lineage: Bacteria; Bacillati; Actinomycetota; Actinomycetes; Micrococcales; Sanguibacteraceae. The record is from RNAcentral.
GGAAUAUUGCACAAUGGGCGAAAGCCUGAUGCAGCGACGCCGCGUGAGGGAUGAAGGCCUUCGGGUUGUAAACCUCUUUCAGUAGGGAAGAAGCGAAAGUGACGGUACCUGCAGAAGAAGCGCCGGCUAACUACGUGCCAGCAGCCGCGGUAAUACGUAGGGCGCAAGCGUUGUCCGGAAUUAUUGGGCGUAAAGAGCUCGUAGGCGGUUUGUCGCGUCUGGUGUGAAAACUCAAGGCUCAACCUUGAGCUUGCAUCGGGUACGGGCAGACUAGAGUGUGGUAGGGGUGACUGGAAUUCCUGGUGUAGCGGUGGAAUGCGCAGAUAUCAGGAGGAACACCGAUGGCGAAGGCAGGUCACUGGGCCACUACUGACGCUGAGGAGCGAAAGCAUGGGGAGCGAACAGGAUUAGAUACCCCAG